RNAcentral lists this ribosomal RNA (301 nucleotides) under uncultured bacterium. Its description in RNAcentral is "partial 16S ribosomal RNA". It matches the Rfam family "Bacterial small subunit ribosomal RNA", at positions 509 to 809 of the family's 1533-position model. The record is from RNAcentral.
CAGCCGCCGCGGUAAUACGAAGGGGGCUAGCGUUGCUCGGAAUGACUGGGCGUAAAGGGCGCGUAGGCGGCUGACACAGUCAGAUGUGAAAUUCCUGGGCUCAACCUGGGGACUGCAUUUGAGACGUGUUGGCUUGAGUGGAGAAGAGGGUCGUGGAAUUUCCAGUGUAGAGGUGAAAUUCGUAGAUAUUGGAAAGAACACCGGUGGCGAAGGCGGCGACCUGGUCUUUAACUGACGCUGAGGCGCGAAAGCGUGGGGAGCAAACAGGAUUAGAUACCCCGGUAGUCCCUGUCUCUUAUAA